RNAcentral lists this ribosomal RNA (223 nucleotides) under uncultured bacterium. RNAcentral's name for it is "partial 16S ribosomal RNA". It matches the Rfam family "Bacterial small subunit ribosomal RNA", at positions 57 to 305 of the family's 1533-position model. The record is from RNAcentral.
GCAAGUCGAACGAAGCUUUUCGGAGCUAAGUGGCGGACGGGUGAGUAACGCGUGAGAAUCUACCUUUUGGAGGGGGACAACACUGGGAAACCAAUGCUAAGACCCCAUAGGCUGAAAAGUGAAAAACGAAAGUUGCCAAGAGAGGAGCUCGCGUCUGAUUAGCUAGUUGGUAGGGUAAAAGACAACCAAGGCGACGAUCAGUAGCUGGUCUGAGAGGACGAAC